RNAcentral lists this ribosomal RNA (277 nucleotides) under uncultured bacterium. Its description in RNAcentral is "partial 16S ribosomal RNA". It matches the Rfam family "Bacterial small subunit ribosomal RNA", at positions 32 to 319 of the family's 1533-position model. The record is from RNAcentral.
AAUCAACGCUGGCGGCGUGCCUAACACAUGCAAGUCGAACGAGAAAGGGACUUCGGUCUCGAGUAUAGUGGCGCACGGGUGAGUAACACGUGAAUAAUCUACCUCCGAGUGGGGAAUAACCUGGAGAAAUCUAGGCUAAUACCGCAUAAUACUUACGAGUCAAAGCAGCAAUGCGCUUGGAGAGGAGUUCGCGGCAGAUUAGUUAGUUGGCGGGGUAAUGGCCCACCAAGACGAUGAUCUGUAUCCGGCCUGAGAGGGCGCACGGACACACUGGAAC